This 253-nucleotide ribosomal RNA is filed under the name uncultured bacterium. RNAcentral's name for it is "partial 16S ribosomal RNA". It matches the Rfam family "Bacterial small subunit ribosomal RNA", at positions 524 to 776 of the family's 1533-position model. The record is from RNAcentral.
UACGAAGGGGACUAGCGUUGUUCGGAAUCACUGGGCGUAAAGCGCACGUAGGCGGAUUUGUAAGUCAGGGGUGAAAUCCCGGGGCUCAACCUCGGAACUGCCUUUGAUACUGCGAAUCUUGAGUCCGAUAGAGGUGGGUGGAAUUCCUAGUGUAGAGGUGAAAUUCGUAGAUAUUAGGAAGAACACCAGUGGCGAAGGCGGCCCGCUGGAUCGGUACUGACGCUGAGGUGCGAAAGCGUGGGGAGCAAACAGG